UGGGGAAUAUUGCACAAUGGGGGAAACCCUGAUGCAGCGACGCCGCGUGAACGAAGAAGGUAUUCGUAUCGUAAAGUUCUGUCCUAUGGGAAGAUAAUGACAGUACCAUAGAAGAAAGCUCCGGCUAAAUACGUGCCAGCAGCCGCGGUAAUACGUAUGGAGCGAGCGUUGACCGGAAUUAUUGGGCGUAAAGGGUACGCAGGCGGUUUAAUAAGUCGAAUGUUAAAGAUCGGGGCUCAACCCCGCAAAGCAUUGGAAACUGAUAAACUUGAGUAGUGGAGAGGAAAGUGGAAUUCCUAGUGUAGUGGUGAAAUACGUAGAUAUUAGGAGGAAUACCAGUAGCGAAGGCGACUUUCUGGACACAAACUGACGCUGAGGUACGAAAGCGUAGGGAGCAAACAGG
Molecule: ribosomal RNA, 403 nt
Filed under: bacterium
Lineage: Bacteria
Description: partial 16S ribosomal RNA
Rfam family: Bacterial small subunit ribosomal RNA
Source: RNAcentral